This 229-nucleotide ribosomal RNA is filed under the name uncultured bacterium. RNAcentral's name for it is "partial 16S ribosomal RNA". It matches the Rfam family "Bacterial small subunit ribosomal RNA", at positions 568 to 796 of the family's 1533-position model. The record is from RNAcentral.
UACGUAGGCGGAAAAUUAAGUCAGUAGUGAAAUCCUGCAGCUUAACUGUAGAACUGUUAUUGAUACUGGUUUUCUUGAAUAUUGUUGAGGUAGGCGGAAUAAGUAAUGUAGCGGUGAAAUGCUUAGAUAUUACUUAGAACACCGAUUGCGAAGGCAGCUUACUAAGCAAUUAUUGACGCUGAGGUACGAAAGCGUGGGGAGCGAACAGGAUUAGAUACCCUGGUAGUCC